Molecule: small nuclear RNA, 25 nt
Filed under: Arabidopsis thaliana (thale cress)
Lineage: Eukaryota; Viridiplantae; Streptophyta; Magnoliopsida; Brassicales; Brassicaceae
Description: snRNA_19163
Source: RNAcentral
AGUCCGGAGACGUCGGCGGGGGCCU